Molecule: ribosomal RNA, 465 nt
Filed under: uncultured bacterium
Lineage: Bacteria
Description: partial 16S ribosomal RNA
Rfam family: Bacterial small subunit ribosomal RNA
Source: RNAcentral
GACGAACGCUGGCGGCGUGCUUAACACAUGCAAGUCGAGCGGAAAGGCCCCCUUGUGGGGUACUCGAGUGGCGAACGGGUGAGUAACACGUGAGUAACCUACCCUUGACUUUGGGAUAACUUCGGGAAACUGGGGCUAAUACCGGAUAGGAGCUCCUGCUGCAUGGUGGGGGUUGGAAAGUUUCGGCGGUUGGGGAUGGGCUCGCGGCUUAUCAGCUUGUUGGUGGGGUAGUGGCUCACCAAGGCUUUGACGGGUAGCCGGCCUGAGAGGGUGACCGGCCACAUUGGGACUGAGAUACGGCCCAGACUCCUACGGGAGGCAGCAGUGGGGAAUAUUGCACAAUGGGCGGAAGCCUGAUGCAGCAACGCCGCGUGCGGGAUGACGGCCUUCGGGUUGUAAACCGCUUUCGCCUGUGACGAAGCGUGAGUGACGGUAAUGGGUAAAGAAGCACCGGCUAACUACGUG